This 500-nucleotide ribosomal RNA is filed under the name uncultured bacterium. Its description in RNAcentral is "partial 16S ribosomal RNA". It matches the Rfam family "Bacterial small subunit ribosomal RNA", at positions 30 to 523 of the family's 1533-position model. The record is from RNAcentral.
AUUGAACGCUGGCGGAAUGCUUUACACAUGCAAGUCGAACGGCAGCACGGACUUCGGUCUGGUGGCGAGUGGCGAACGGGUGAGUAAUGUAUCGGAACGUGCCCAGUCGUGGGGGAUAACGUAGUGAAAAUUACGCUAAUACCGCAUACGAUCUAGGGAUGAAAGCGGGGGAGCGCAAGACCUCGCGCGAUUGGAGCGGCCGAUAUCAGAUUAGGUAGUUGGUGGGGUAAAGGCCCACCAAGCCAACGAUCUGUAGCUGGUCUGAGAGGACGACCAGCCACACUGGAACUGAGACACGGUCCAGACUCCUACGGGAGGCAGCAGUGGGAAAUUUUGGACAAUGGGCGAAAGCCUGAUCCAGCCAUUCCGCGUGCAGGAUGAAGGCCCUCGGGUUGUAAACUGCUUUUGUACAGAACGAAAAGGUUUCUACUAAUACUAGGAGCUCAUGACGGUACUGUAAGAAUAAGCACCGGCUAACUACGUGCCAGCCGCCGCGGUAA